Molecule: long non-coding RNA, 467 nt
Organism: Ornithorhynchus anatinus (platypus)
Lineage: Eukaryota; Metazoa; Chordata; Mammalia; Monotremata; Ornithorhynchidae
Exons: 2
Source: RefSeq, a predicted model, not a curated record
CCUCUGUCAGCAGGUCCUCUCCCCUGUUGCCAUGGAGACCCCACCGGGGCUUACUAAAGGUAUUUCCUGAAGAGAAAGGCAGAGCACACAUGCCCGGCAGCCCCGCUAAUCCCGACAGGAAGCCAUCGCCAUUCAGCAGCCCGGGGGCUCGGCGGCUCGGAACUGGAGACAGUGGAUUCCCUUGAAACAACAAAGAAAAGUCAAGAGAACCUUAGGGAGCUUUCUCCUCCAAAGGUCACCACCCUGCUUCCACCUCUUCUUCAUCAGCUCUAAGACAGCCUGGAAGAGCAGGGACAAACUACCCCUCCAACGCUCAACACCAAAAAGUCUGCAGCCAGGAGGGGACAGAAGAGAACUCAGUGGAGCCUUCACACUGCAGACAGCCUGAAACUUUCCACUCUUCCUCUACAGCACCAUCUUAUUCUAGGAAUAAAAGUGUAACCAGGCUGUGAAUCCCAUGUGGGACA